CAGUCGCCGCGGUAAAACGAAGGGUGCAAGCGUUAAUCGGAAUUACUGGGCGUAAAGCGUGCGUAGGCGGUGAGUUAAGUCUGCUGUGAAAUCCCCGGGCUCAACCUGGGAAUGGCAGUGGAUACUGGCUCGCUAGAGUGUGUCAGAGGAUGGUGGAAUUCCCGGUGUAGCGGUGGAAUGCGUAGAGAUCGGGAGGAACAUCAGUGGCGAAGGCGGCCAUCUGGGACAACACUGACGCUGAGGCACGAAAGCGUGGGGAGCAAACAGGAUUAGAUACCCCAGUAGUCCCUGUCUCUUAUAC
RNAcentral lists this ribosomal RNA (301 nucleotides) under uncultured bacterium. Its description in RNAcentral is "partial 16S ribosomal RNA". It matches the Rfam family "Bacterial small subunit ribosomal RNA", at positions 509 to 807 of the family's 1533-position model. The record is from RNAcentral.